GGGAGGAGCUGUCUCAAACACAUGUGCUGCGUUUGCAUGCAGCAGCAGGAAGGGGAGACAAUAUCGAUCCGGCAUUUGCAGUCAGCAAAUUCGUGCAGGGCGUUAUCUUAUCAUUUUCACACAACAGCAAAACCUUCCUUUCAACGAGCAUGACAUCCUUUCAUUGUUAGUUAAUAAACAAAAACACCGAGCCUCUCUGUUAUCUUUAUCAACAGAGUGUCUGGUCAGCGCAGAUCAGUGGAUGGACACUACACUUCCUGGUCAGCUAGGGAGCCGAGCAGGAAACCUCCCUGUUAUCUCAAUAAACCACUGACCAUCGCCGCUCAGUGCGCCACACACCAGGCCAUUGUUAGUUAGCAGAACAGGAAAGCGUUUCAACUUAUCUGAAUAAGACACUGCUCCGCGCAGGUCGGGGUAUCCGGGCCUCGGUAAAACUUAGUAUACCGCUGGAAGUCACGACUCUCUCGGUAAAUGCAUCCUCUCAGUACCAGAAAUGUAUAAAGAUGCUCAUUCGGUGCAAGGUAGUCAUCACUCGAGAUCAUGCCAGAAACCUCUUCAGCUUCGCUCCUCACUAACGCUCAGAUCCAUCCCGAGGGUCAGAACGCAAGCUCCAACCCACAACAUGGCAUACGCUUCUUUGGUAAGUUCUAAUGAAUAUAUUCUAACGAUGUUUUAAGUUAUACGUUGAAUAUACGGUGGGGGAAUCCCCCCUAUGACGCCACUGAUCAUGUGAUACCGUAGUAAUGUCACUUGGGGAAUCCCCCCUUACGCUUUUCGGCUGUGUAACAAUAUAUGUUUAAUUAUUUUUCAGACCUCACAGGUGUGGAGCAAGAAAAUGUACUUUUAACACCGUUCAACUACGGUAGGAUUUACUUUCAUAAAGAUAAAGUAUCUAAAGUAUUUAAAGAUACUAAUACGUUGUUUUAACCAUUUUAUUUUUAUUCUUUUAGUUUUUUUGAUGGGAACGUUCUAAAAGGUGAGGAAACACUGAGCUAGCAAUAUUAUCCUUGUAAUGAAUAGCUUAUGAAAAAUAAGUGGUUUGUGUGUUCUUUCUGUGGGGUUCCUUGUUUGGUUCCUCAGAAGAACUUGAAGUGAAGCACACCUCCCUCAGUCCGGGCUAUUUCUACCACAAAAUCCAAGAAUCAAACCCUUCCCAUGAUUACUGGCUCUUCUACAACCUAAUCCACGGCAAAAUAUUUACUAAUGUUUAUUGGAGUAAUCAUUUUUCUUAAAUCAUGAUUUUAUUCUUGUGUUUUUGCCCCCAAAAAACAGCAAGCGGUCUAACCCAGACAGAAGGCUACAAGGAGAUCUGCAAUAAGGAAAAGUAUCCUAUUCAGCACACUGUGAAAAGGACAAAGACAUUUAUGUGUGAAAUGUUUGUCUCCCCUUUUAAGAUAAUUUCAAGGCUCACAAUCAGUAUAAAAUUAACCAUUGUAAAAAUGAAAAAUGAUUGAACUUUUUGGUGCUUA
Long non-coding RNA from Fundulus heteroclitus (mummichog), 1469 nucleotides. RefSeq lists it as uncharacterized. NCBI's taxonomy places the organism in Eukaryota, Metazoa, Chordata, Actinopteri, Cyprinodontiformes, Fundulidae. The transcript has 2 exons. The record is from RefSeq and is a predicted model, not a curated record.